AGAAUCAACGCUGGCGGCGUGCCUAACACAUGCAAGUCGAACGAGAACGGGUAGCAAUACCUUAGUAAAGUGGCGCACGGGUGAGUAACACGUGACUAACCUACCCUGGAGUGGGGGAUAACUGAGAGAAAUCUUAGCUAAUACCGCAUAACACCUACGGGUCAAAGGAGCAAUUCGCUUCAGGAGGGGGUCGCGGCAGAUUAGAUAGUUGGCGGGUAAUGGCCCACCAAGUCAGUGAUCUGUA
RNAcentral lists this ribosomal RNA (244 nucleotides) under uncultured bacterium. RNAcentral's name for it is "partial small subunit ribosomal RNA". It matches the Rfam family "Bacterial small subunit ribosomal RNA", at positions 26 to 285 of the family's 1533-position model. The record is from RNAcentral.